RNAcentral lists this ribosomal RNA (1887 nucleotides) under human gut metagenome. RNAcentral describes it as "bacterial LSU rRNA". It matches the Rfam family "Bacterial large subunit ribosomal RNA", at positions 1 to 1991 of the family's 2925-position model. The record is from RNAcentral.
UAAAGCAAAGAAGAGCGCAGAGUGAAUGCCUUGGCAUUGGGAGCCGAUGAAGGACGUGGUUAACUGCGAUAAGCUGCGGGGAGCUGUAAGCAAGCUUUGAUCCGCAGAUUUCCGAAUGGAGCAAUCCACAUGAAGUAGUUCAUGUAUCCAUACGUGAAUUCAUAGCGUAUGGAGGGGAACCGCCUGAACUGAAACAUCUAAGUAGGGCGAGGAAGAGAAAUCAACCGAGAUUCCGUAAGUAGUGGCGAGCGAACGCGGAAGAGGCCAAACCGAGAGAAGAAAUUCUUUCGGGGUUCGGACUGCAUUUAGUAUUCUUGAUCUUUAGUCGAACAGUCUGGGAAGGCUGACAAGAGAGUGUGAUAGUCACGUAGACGAAAAGGAGAAAGAGCGAGCAGUAUCCAGAGUACUGCGGGGCACGUGAAAUCCCGUGGGAAGAUGGGGGGACCACCCUCCAAGCCUAAAUACUACCCAAUGACCGAUAGCGUAAAGUACUGUGAAGGAACGGUGAAAAGAACCCCGGGAGGGGAGUGAAAAGAACCUGAAACUCUGUGCUUACAAGCACAUAGAGCACGUCAAUGUGUGAUAUGGUACCUUUUGUAGAAUGGUCCGGCGAGUUAUGGUAUGCAGCGUGGUUAAGGACUUCAGGUCUGAAGCCGAAGCGAGAGCGAGUUUGACAAGGGCGAAAAGUUGUAUGCCAUAGACCCGAAACCGGGUGACCUAGCCAUGUCCAGGCUGAAGUGGAGGUAAAACUCCAUGGAGGGCCGAACCGACCUCCGUUGAAAAGGCGGCGGAUGAGAUGUGGCUAGCGGAGAAAUUCCAAUCGAACCCGGAUAUAGCUGGUUCUCCCCGAAAUAGCUUUAGGGCUAGCGUUGUAUUAGAUUACCGGAGGUAAAGCACUGAAUGGGCUAGGGGCUGAGAAGUUACUGAACCCUAUCAAACUAAGAAUGCCGGAUAAUUGAUGUACAGCAGUCAGACUAUGUGAGAUAAGUCUCAUAGUCAAAAGGGAAACAGCCCAGACCCACAGCUAAGGUCCCAAAAUGGAUUUAAGUGGAAAAGGAUGUGGAAUUGCACAGACAACCAGGAUGUUGGCUUAGAAGCAGCCACUCAUUAAAAGAGUGCGUAAUAGCUCACUGGUCGAGUGACUCUGCGCCGAAAAUUCAACGGGGCUAAAAUUCAUACCGAAGCUUGGGCUUGACAGAAAUGUCAGGGGUAGGGGAGCGUCGUAUACGAGGUGAAGUCAUAGCGGAAGCGGUGGUGGAUUGUAUACGAGUGAGAAUGCCGGAAUGAGUAGCGAGAAUUAUGUGAGAAUCAUAAUGGCCGAAAGUCUAAGGUUUCCUGAGGAAGGUUCGUCCUCUCAGGGUUAGCCGGGAGCUAAGGUGAGGCGGAAACGCGUAGCCGAUGCACAUACGGUAGAAAUUCCGUAGCCUCCGAAGAUUUAAGCACAGGGACACUUUUGAAGGGCUGAGCCGGGCGUUGGUUGCCCCGGUCGAAAGGGACACGAUUGAGUGGAAGUCAGUUUGGAAAGAGGCGAGAAAAGCUGUGUGUAUAUGAAAGGAGCCCGUACCGCAAACCGACACAGGUAGACAGGAAGAAGAUUCUAAGGCCAGCGGGAGAAGGGUUGUUAAGGAACUCGGCAAGUUGACCCCGUAACUUCGGGAGAAGGGGUGCUUACGAAGGUAAGCCGCAGAGAAUAGGCCCAAGCGACUGUUUAGCAAAAACACAGCUCUAUGCUAAAUCGAAAGAUGACGUAUAUGGGGUGACACCUGCCCGGUGCUGGAAGGUUAAGAGGAGAUGUGAGAGCAUUGAAUUGAAGCCCCAGUAAACGGCGGCCGUAACUAUAACGGUCCUAAGGUAGCGAAAUUCCUUGUCAGGUAAGUUCUGACCCGC